ACGCUCGACACCUACGGGAGCAGCAGUAGGGAAUCUUCCACAAUGGACGCAAGUCUGAUGGAGCAACGCCGCGUGAGUGAAGAAGGUCUUCGGAUCGUAAAACUCUGUUGUUAGAGAAGAACACGAGUGAGAGUAACUGUUCAUUCGAUGACGGUAUCUAACCAGCAAGUCACGGCUAACUACGUGCCAGCAGCCGNGGUAAUCUGAGCGGGCUGGCAAGGC
This 222-nucleotide ribosomal RNA is filed under the name uncultured bacterium. RNAcentral's name for it is "partial 16S ribosomal RNA". It matches the Rfam family "Bacterial small subunit ribosomal RNA", at positions 328 to 539 of the family's 1533-position model. The record is from RNAcentral.